GACGGAAGGUGCAAGCGUUGCUCGGAAUCACUGGGCGUAAAGGGUGCGUAGGCGGCGCGGUAAGUCGGGUGUGAAAUCUUGGAGCUUAACUCCGAAACUGCAUUCGAUACUGCCGUGCUUGAGGACUGGAGAGGAGACUGGAAUUUACGGUGUAGCGGUGAAAUGCGUAGAUAUCGUAAGGAAGACCAGUGGCGAAGGCGGGUCUCUGGACAGUUCCUGACGCUGAGGCACGAAGGCCAGGGGAGCAAACGGG
This 253-nucleotide ribosomal RNA is filed under the name uncultured bacterium. RNAcentral describes it as "partial 16S ribosomal RNA". It matches the Rfam family "Bacterial small subunit ribosomal RNA", at positions 524 to 776 of the family's 1533-position model. The record is from RNAcentral.